GACGAACGCUGGCGGCGUGCCUAAUACAUGCAAGUAGAACGCUGAAGGAGGAGCUUGCUUCUCUGGAUGAGUUGCGAACGGGUGAGUAACGCGUAGGUAACCUGCCUGGUAGCGGGGGAUAACUAUUGGAAACGAUAGCUAAUACCGCAUAAUAUUGACUAUUGCAUGAUAGUCAGUUGAAAGGUGCAACUGCACCACUACCAGAUGGACCUGCGUUGUAUUAGCUAGUUGGUGGGGUAACGGCUCACCAAGGCGACGAUACAUAGCCGACCUGAGAGGGUGAUCGGCCACACUGGGACUGAGACACGGCCCAGACUCCUACGGGAGGCAGCAGGAGGGAAUCUUCGGCAAUGGACGGAAGUCUGACCGAGCAACGCCGCGUGAGUGAAGAAGGGUUUCGGAUCGUAAAGCUCUGUUGUAAGAGAAGAAAGAGUGUGAGAGUGGAAAGCUCACACUGUGACGGUAUCUGACCAGAAAGGGACGGCUAACUACGUG
RNAcentral lists this ribosomal RNA (495 nucleotides) under uncultured bacterium. RNAcentral describes it as "partial 16S ribosomal RNA". It matches the Rfam family "Bacterial small subunit ribosomal RNA", at positions 28 to 507 of the family's 1533-position model. The record is from RNAcentral.